Molecule: long non-coding RNA, 577 nt
Organism: Hemicordylus capensis (graceful crag lizard)
Lineage: Eukaryota; Metazoa; Chordata; Lepidosauria; Squamata; Cordylidae
Exons: 3
Source: RefSeq, a predicted model, not a curated record
GAAGAUGAUACCUCUCUGCAAUGCUUCUCAGGCAGCAGCAGGUACAAGAUCAUGAAUGAAUACAUCUCACAGUGGAUCUGAUCCUUGGAUUUCUACCAGCACACUGUUGAACUGAAUCACUGCUUUUGGUCACAGUGUUUUUGGCUGCAGUUCUUUGUACACCAAUCUGGAGAUUGGAAUGGGUGAGGAGAAGAGUGCAAGAGCAGCAAUUUAACUAAAUAACAAGAAAGGAGGAGAGUGUGCUCUCAGCAGAACAACAGAUGCAUGUUUACUCCAAAGGAAGACCCAUGAAGUUCCAUGGGAUUUGCUCCCAGGAAAGUGUGCACAGAAUUGCAGCCAAGUCAUUUCAUAUGACUGGGCAAGAGGAAAGGGGAACAAUUCAGCCCGAUUGCAGGAACUGGUUUAUUAAGAGAGAUGAUUUCUUUCUUUCGGUCAAACCUCCACAGCAGUUUUAACAGGAGUAUGUGGGAGGUGGGGAAGGAUUCUGCAGAAGUGUGUGUGUGUGCGCAAUUAUGAUAAAGUUUGGAAAGCUGAAAGUAUGUUUUUGUGCAACAACCACAUUUUAAAUAAAAACAUA